CUUCCUGUUAUAUAUGUUUCAAUCGUUCAAUUUUGUACAUCAUUGUUAUUUCACCGUGGGCCUUUUUAUGCUUAGUACUUUAAUUGCUUUAUAUACUAAUUCGGGUUCAGGAAAAAAUCAUUCAGUUUUUAAUGUAAGGCAACAUUGUUUUACCGAUGUUCCAAUAUUCUAAAUAGUUAUAGUAGACAAUUACAGUGACUUGACU
RNAcentral lists this long non-coding RNA (205 nucleotides) under Mytilus galloprovincialis (Mediterranean mussel). Lineage: Eukaryota; Metazoa; Mollusca; Bivalvia; Mytilida; Mytilidae. The record is from RNAcentral.